This 229-nucleotide long non-coding RNA is filed under the name Setaria viridis. Its description in RNAcentral is "long non-coding RNA (SVIR_LNC001268)". The record is from RNAcentral. Lineage: Eukaryota; Viridiplantae; Streptophyta; Magnoliopsida; Poales; Poaceae.
GUGAUUUAUUUUAACAUGAAUUACAAGGCCGCUGACAGAAACAACACCACACUGAACAGACGCUCAAUGGGGCAGUUCAAACAACACCUCAGGUCGGUGUCUGGCUACAGAAUAUCAGCUAAUAGCAGAUGAACAAAAUUAUCAUUAGCAGCUAAUAAUCAUUUGAAGCUACAUAAAAUCAAUAAUGACACUAAUAGCAGAAAAACCAUUAUAUAUUACUACUCCCUCC